RNAcentral lists this small nucleolar RNA (91 nucleotides) under Babjeviella inositovora NRRL Y-12698. The record is from RNAcentral. Lineage: Eukaryota; Fungi; Ascomycota; Pichiomycetes; Serinales.
UCCGAUGAUGAGUAAAAUACAACCAUUGAAUUUCUUCAACUGAACAACCCAUGUGGAUUAAAACAUUUUACAGAGCUUUUUAACCCUGAGA